CUGUGACCGUCCCAUCCUUGCGGAUCAGCUCCCGUCGUCUGUCGUCAGAGUGCGGGAGUCCAACCGCAAGGAUGGGAUGGUCAGAGAA
Molecule: microRNA precursor, 88 nt
Filed under: Symbiodinium microadriaticum
Lineage: Eukaryota; Dinophyceae; Suessiales; Symbiodiniaceae
Description: microRNA smc-mir-12455 precursor (smc-mir-12455-2)
Source: miRBase by way of RNAcentral